RNAcentral lists this unclassified non-coding RNA (379 nucleotides) under plant metagenome. Its description in RNAcentral is "partial contains 5.8S ribosomal RNA, internal transcribed spacer 2, and large subunit ribosomal RNA". The stretch from base 1 to 106 matches the Rfam family "5.8S ribosomal RNA", at positions 49 to 154 of the family's 154-position model. The record is from RNAcentral.
CGAAAUGCGAUAAGUAAUGUGAAAUGCAGAAUUCAGUGAAUCAUCGAAUCUUUGAACGCACCUUGCGCUCCUUGGUAUUCCUUGGAGCAUGCCUGUUUGAGUAUCAUGAAAUCUUCAAAGUAAAUCUUUUGUUAACUCAAUUGGUUUCUACUUUGGUAUUGGAGGUCUUUGCAGCUUCACACCUGCUCCUCUUUGUUCAUUAGCUGGAUCUCAGUGUUAUGCUUGGUUCCACUCGGCGUGAUAAGUUAUCUAUCGCUGAGGACACUGUAAAAGGUGGCCAAGGUAAAUGCAGAUGAACCGCUUCUAAUAGUCCAUUGACUUGGACAAUACUUUUAUGAUCUGAUCUCAAAUCAGGUAGGACUACCCGCUGAACUUAAGC